Molecule: ribosomal RNA, 498 nt
Filed under: uncultured bacterium
Lineage: Bacteria
Description: partial 16S ribosomal RNA
Rfam family: Bacterial small subunit ribosomal RNA
Source: RNAcentral
GAUGAACGCUGGCGGCGUGCCUAAUACAUGCAAGUCGAGCGAACAGACGAGGAGCUUGCUCCUCUGACGUUAGCGGCGGACGGGUGAGUAACACGUGGAUAACCUACCUAUAAGACUGGGAUAACUUCGGGAAACCGGAGCUAAUACCGGAUAAUAUAUUGAACCGCAUGGUUCAAUAGUGAAAGACGGUUUUGCUGUCACUUAUAGAUGGAUCCGCGCCGCAUUAGCUAGUUGGUAAGGUAACGGCUUACCAAGGCGACGAUGCGUAGCCGACCUGAGAGGGUGAUCGGCCACACUGGAACUGGGACACGGUCCAGACUCCUACGGGAGGCAGCAGUAGGGAAUCUUCCGCAAUGGGCGAAAGCCUGACGGAGCAACGCCGCGUGAGUGAUGAAGGUCUUCGGAUCGUAAAACUCUGUUAUUAGGGAAGAACAAAUGUGUAAGUAACUAUGCACGUCUUGACGGUACCUAAUCAGAAAGCCACGGCUAACUACGUGC